Molecule: ribosomal RNA, 579 nt
Filed under: uncultured Gammaproteobacteria bacterium
Lineage: Bacteria; Pseudomonadati; Pseudomonadota; Gammaproteobacteria
Description: partial 16S ribosomal RNA
Source: RNAcentral
ACGCGUUGGGAGCUCUCCCAUAUGGUCGACCUGCAGGCGGCCGCGAAUUCACUAGUGAUUCGUAUUACCGCGGCUGCUGGCACGGAGUUAGCCGGAGCUUAUUCUCCCGGUACUGUCAUUAUCAUCCCGGGUGAAAGAGCUUUACAACCCUAAGGCCUUCAUCACUCACGCGGCAUUGCUGGAUCAGGCUUUCGCCCAUUGUCCAAUAUUCCCCACUGCUGCCUCCCGUAGGAGUCUGGACCGUGUCUCAGUUCCAGUGUGACUGAUCAUCCUCUCAGACCAGUUACGGAUCGUCGCCUUGGUGAGCCAUUACCUCACCAACUAGCUAAUCCGACCUAGGCUCAUCUGAUAGCGCAAGGCCCGAAGGUCCCCUGCUUUCUCCCGUAGGACGUAUGCGGUAUUAGCGUCCGUUUCCGAGCGUUAUCCCCCACUACCAGGCAGAUUCCUAGGCAUUACUCACCCGUCCGCCGCUCUCAAGAGAAGCAAGCUUCUCUCUACCGCUCGACUUGCAUGUGUUAGGCCUGCCGCCAGCGUUCAAUCUGAGCCAUGAUCAAACUCUAAUCGAAUUCCCGCGGCCGC